Molecule: ribosomal RNA, 448 nt
Filed under: uncultured bacterium
Lineage: Bacteria
Description: partial 16S ribosomal RNA
Rfam family: Bacterial small subunit ribosomal RNA
Source: RNAcentral
UCCAGACUCCUACGGGAGGCAGCAGUGGGGAAUAUUGCACAAUGGGGGAAACCCUGAUGCAGCGACGCCGCGUGAGCGAAGAAGUAUUUCGGUAUGUAAAGCUCUAUCAGCAGGGAAGAAAAAAAUGACGGUACCUGAGUAAGAAGCACCGGCUAAAUACGUGCCAGCAGCCGCGGUAAUACGUAUGGUGCAAGCGUUAUCCAGAUUUACUGGGUGUAAAGGGAGCGUAGGCGGCGCGUUAAGUCUGAUGUGAAAACCCGAGGCUCAACCACGGGAGUGCAUUGGAAACUGGCGGGCUGGAGUGCCGGAGAGGUAAGCGGAAUUCCUAGUGUAGCGGUGAAAUGCGUAGAUAUUAGGAGGAACACCAGUGGCGAAGGCGGCUUACUGGACGGCAACUGACACUGAGGCUCGAAAGCGUGGGGAGCAAACAGGAUUAGAUACCCUAGUA